GUGGGGAAUAUUCCGCAAUGGGCGCAAGCCUGACGGAGCAACGCCGCGUGAAUGAAGACGGUCUUCGGAUUGUAAAGUUCUGUCAUUAGGGACGAAGGACUCAUGUAAAUAAUAUGUGGAAUGACGGUACCUAAGGAGGAAGCUCCGGCUAACUACGUGCCAGCAGCCGCGGUAAUACGUAGGGAGCAAGCGUUGUCCGGAAUUACUGGGCGUAAAGGGCGCGUAGGCGGAUAAUUAAGUCAGAUGUGAAAUCUCCAGGCUUAACUUGGAGCGUGCAUUUGAAACUGGUUAUCUUGAGGGCAGGAGAGGAAAGUGGAAUUCCUAGUGUAGCGGUGAAAUGCGUAGAUAUUAGGAGGAACACCAGUGGCGAAGGCGACUUUCUGGACUGAACCUGACGCUGAGGCGCGAAAGCAUGGGGAGCGAACGGGAUUAGAAACCCCAGUAGUCC
Molecule: ribosomal RNA, 448 nt
Filed under: uncultured bacterium
Lineage: Bacteria
Description: partial 16S ribosomal RNA
Rfam family: Bacterial small subunit ribosomal RNA
Source: RNAcentral